This 698-nucleotide ribosomal RNA is filed under the name Derris trifoliata (threeleaf derris). RNAcentral describes it as "eukaryotic LSU rRNA". It matches the Rfam family "Eukaryotic large subunit ribosomal RNA", at positions 80 to 787 of the family's 3401-position model. Lineage: Eukaryota; Viridiplantae; Streptophyta; Magnoliopsida; Fabales; Fabaceae. The record is from RNAcentral.
UUAGUAACGGCGAGCGAACCAGGAAGAGCCCACCAUGAGAUUCGGUCACCUUCGGCGUCCGAACUGUAGUCUGGAGAAGCAUCCUUAAUGGCAAACUAGGUCCAAUUCUGCUGGAAGGGGUGCCAUAGAGGAUGCGAGCCCCAUUGUGCUUGGAGGUUCACGAGACGCUAUGGGUGAGUCGAGUUGUUUGGGAAUGCAGUCCUAAUCGGGCUAUAAAUUCUAUUCAAUGCUAAAUACUGGUGAGAAACAGGUAACAAACAAGUAUUGCAAGGGACAGAUGAAAAGGAAUUUAAAAAGAGAGUCAAAGAGUGCUUGAAAUUAUCCAGAGGGAAGCGGAUAGUGGCCGACGAUGUGUCUCGGUCAGAUGUGGAGCAGUGUAAGCUAGUUUACCAAUCAACUUAGGAUAAUGACCAACGCAGAUUGUGAUGGUCUCCCAAGCCUGGGUUGUCNAAAUGCUCAUGGAGACAUCAUCUUCAUGAUUGUGGUUGGUAGCACGCGCUGAUCCAGCAUACCUCGGCACUUGCAUGCUUCGGGCGUCAGCCUGUGGGCUCCNUAUUUGGCCUGUCUUCAAACANGAACCAAGGAGUUUGACAUGUGUGCUAGUUAAUGGGCGAGUAAACCCGUAAGGUGCAAGGAAGUUAAUUUGUAGGAUCCCCUCGUGGAUUGCACCAGCGAUCAACCUCGAUCUUUUGUGAAGG